This 448-nucleotide ribosomal RNA is filed under the name uncultured bacterium. RNAcentral's name for it is "bacterial SSU rRNA". It matches the Rfam family "Bacterial small subunit ribosomal RNA", at positions 355 to 825 of the family's 1533-position model. The record is from RNAcentral.
CAGGGAAUCUUGCACAAUGGGCGAAAGCCUGAUGCAGCGACGCCGCGUGGGGGAUGAAGGCCCUAGGGUCGUAAACCCCUUUCAGCAGGGACGAAAAUGACGGUACCUGCAGAAGAAGCCCCGGCCAACUACGUGCCAGCAGCCGCGGUAAGACGUAGGGGGCGAGCGUUGUCCGGAUUUAUUGGGCGUAAAGAGCUCGUAGGCGGUUGCGUAAGUCGGAUGUGAAAACUCAGGGCUCAACCCUGAGACGCCAUCCGAUACUGCGCUGACUUGAAUCCAGUAGGGGAGUGCGGAAUUCCUGGUGUAGCGGUGAAAUGCGCAGAUAUCAGGAGGAACACCCAUGGCGAAGGCAGCACUCUGGGCUGGUAUUGACGCUGAGGAGCGAAAGCAUGGGUAGCGAACAGGAUUAGAUACCCACGUAGUCCCUGAGCGGGCUGGCAAGGCGCAU